Podarcis lilfordi (Lilford's wall lizard) is the source of this 264-nucleotide non-coding RNA. Lineage: Eukaryota; Metazoa; Chordata; Lepidosauria; Squamata; Lacertidae. The record is from the annotation of a GenBank genome assembly.
AGGAACCGCAGAAAGAGGGGGAAGGAAGUCAAGUUUUUAAAUGUCAAAACGAUUGUGAAAUCAGUGAAAUGUCUAUAUCUGAAAAGUAUAAAUAAAAUUUUAUAUAUAUAUAUUUUUUUGUGUCUGUGUGUGUGUGUGUGUGUGUGUGGUUGAGGGGAAAAGUGGGAGUUGCAACUUUAUUUACACCUCUGUAUGAUCUCAAAUGGCAACGCUUUCCAACAGAAUCAGAUUGCACCUUUAUCUGGGAGACACCCAGCAGUCCUC